This 72-nucleotide transfer RNA is filed under the name Camelus bactrianus (Bactrian camel). It matches the Rfam family "tRNA". From Rfam's summary of the family: Transfer RNA (tRNA) molecules are approximately 80 nucleotides in length. Their secondary structure includes four short double-helical elements and three loops (D, anti-codon, and T loops). Further hydrogen bonds mediate the characteristic L-shaped molecular structure. tRNAs have two regions of fundamental functional importance: the anti-codon, which is responsible for specific mRNA codon recognition, and the 3' end, to which the tRNAs corresponding amino acid is attached (by aminoacyl-tRNA synthetases). tRNAs cope with the degeneracy of the genetic code in two manners: having more than one tRNA (with a specific anti-codon) for a particular amino acid; and 'wobble' base-pairing, i.e. permitting non-standard base-pairing at the 3rd anti-codon position. The record is from Rfam by way of RNAcentral. RNAcentral also lists the same sequence under 2 other names. Lineage: Eukaryota; Metazoa; Chordata; Mammalia; Artiodactyla; Camelidae.
GAGGGUCUAGCUCAGUGGUAGAGAGCUUACUUAGCAUGUAUGAGGUCCUGGGUUCAAUCCCCAGUACCUCCA